UACGUAGGGGGCAAGCGUUGUCCGGAAUCAUUGGGCGUAAAGCGCGUGUAGGCGGCUCGGUAAGUCUGCUGUGAAAGUCCAGGGCUCAACCCUGGGAUGCCGGUGGAUACUGUCGAGCUCGAGUCCGGAAGAGGCGAGUGGAAUUCCUGGUGUAGCGGUGAAAUGCGCAGAUAUCAGGAGGAACACCUAUGGCGAAGGCAGCUCGCUGGGACGUGACUGACGCUGAGGUGCGAAAGCGUGGGGAGCAAACAGG
Molecule: ribosomal RNA, 253 nt
Filed under: uncultured bacterium
Lineage: Bacteria
Description: partial 16S ribosomal RNA
Rfam family: Bacterial small subunit ribosomal RNA
Source: RNAcentral